This 250-nucleotide ribosomal RNA is filed under the name uncultured bacterium. RNAcentral describes it as "partial 16S ribosomal RNA". It matches the Rfam family "Bacterial small subunit ribosomal RNA", at positions 525 to 775 of the family's 1533-position model. The record is from RNAcentral.
ACGUAGGGAGCAAGCGUUAUCCGGAUUUAUUGGGCGUAAAGCGCGCGUAGGCGGCUUGUUAAGCAAGAUCUUAAACCUGGGGGCUCAACCUUCAGUUGGAUUUUGAACUGGCAGGCUCGAGUUUGGUAGAGGAAAGUGGAAUUCCCAGUGUAGCGGUGAAAUGCGCAGAUAUUGGGAAGAACACCGAUGGCGAAGGCAGCUUUCUGGGCCAUAACUGACGCUGAGGUGCGAAAGCUAGGGGAGCAAACAG